AUGGUGUUGUGCCUCGGCAGCUGGGAUCAUGCAAGGCAGAUGGGAAGCAACAGUGCCGCCUCUCCCCCCGAGCUCCAAAUACAUGAUAGCAGCAUCGAGGAGGAGAAAAACUGCAUUCAGAGGUUACGGAAUGGCAAUGGGUGGGUUACCUCCCAGGAGCAGAUGACUGGCAUGGUUAGUGCUCUAGGCCAUGAAUCUCAUGGAUCCCAUGAUACAGUAUUUUUAUGGUGCAUGUAUCUGGUCCAAAUCCGACGGAGACAAGCAAAAUCGUGCUGCUUCUUCUUCUUUCGAUUCUACUAUGGGUACAAGCAACUUCUAUUUCGCUCGUCACCGGAAACCACCGCCCAGAUCCAUCUCUUCUCAACCAUGCCGACGUGGUGGUCAGGGGCGCUUACAACUUGUGAGGGCCUGCAUUCUCGCUGUUGA
This 426-nucleotide ribosomal RNA is filed under the name Triticum aestivum (bread wheat). RNAcentral describes it as "partial small subunit ribosomal RNA". Lineage: Eukaryota; Viridiplantae; Streptophyta; Magnoliopsida; Poales; Poaceae. The record is from RNAcentral.